UAACUGAAGCUGUGUGUCGACUCUAGAUCGUUCCUCUUUAGGUCCAAAGAUUAUUACUUCAGUUUUGUUUGUUUUGAUCCCAAAGACAGGUGCAGAUCUACAAAAGAACAGCUAAAAAAAGUCAAGAUAGCCUAGUCAAAGUCUUCGAAAACUGAAAACAAAUGUCUGCAAAUCUACAGUUUCUGUAGAGUCAUGGUCAGAUCCACAUACAUUAAGAUAAUAAAGAGCAGAUCUAUUUUAUGAUGUUCUAACAGACUUAACAAAGGUUGUACUUUCUUUUUACCAAGACUUUGCAGCAAGAUAUAAAGCAACAAUCACCAGUUUUUGUCUCCAGCCUCUGAAAACCUUACAUUUAUUGAUCAAAAUUAUGGGUUGCAAGAAUAUUUUGCUUUCAAGAGCCAAACAGAAGGCAGCAGUGGCAGCAGGAGGGAAGAAUUAAGGCCUAAUAUUCAGGAAAACAUAAAGAGUUUUCAGGUCUUGAGUGUUUGUGGCAACAGGGAGUCCUUGAACGCCUCCAGUAAGAUCUGGUAAAACUUUAAAACUCAUGUUUGAUCGACAAACAGAAAGACCUUGAUGCCACAAAAAGCUUUUUGUGAUGGAAAAGAAAGUCUUCAUCACGUCUAAAGGGGGUCUGGGGGGACAGCAGGCGCUGCCGCCACCGCUGCUCAACACCCCCACCCUCCAUGAUGGAGUACCACUAUAAAUAGCCUCAGGUUGUAUCUGGGCAGGAAUAAUCUCCCUGCGCUUUAAUAAGGGAGGAGCAGGUAGAUGGAAACGGCUUCUGCUUUCACACAUCUGGACAUGAAGGUGGAAACAGCAGGUUGGUUGAGAUGAAGCAUCAGUUCAGGUAACUCCCUCACAUGUCAGAGAUCUUCCGGGUCGCCUGAAUUAAAACGUGUGGCAUUGUUCUGAGGAAGACCUCCGAUGGAAACCCAACACCAUUACUGUGUUCAUUACCGCGGAGCAGAGCAGCAGCGGCGGGCCGAAGGCUUCCCUCCACGGAUAUCAGACAGCCUGAGCGUGCCAAGAAGUUUGAUUUUUGUAUUUUUUUUAUGACAGCACAUAGUCUAGUUUUUGAGGAAGCCUAUUACUGUCCUCCCACACACACCCAUCAGCAGCAGGCACACCAAGACCUCAAUAACCCUCCACACACACACAGGGAGGCUGACUGGGUCCAUUUAGGCCUGCAGUGACGCCUCCAGAGCGCUACUGCCAUCAAGUGGCGGCACACCGGAACUGCAUCCGCUGUAACUAUGGAAGCACGUUGAGAGGCUGUUACUUGCCAACCGCUAAUGAACGUUAAAUAAGAGUUUGUUUUAUUUUAGAAGAAGAGAAAGUAUCUUUCCAUCUCUUUAAAGCUCCACCUUCUCCUCUGAUUCUAACAGAUUUAAGGUUUAAUUUAGUUUCUCACCUCUGAUUGGAGCUGGAUGGUUUCUGGAGGAAUCAGAUCCUGGAGCAGCUGCUGCUCAUCAGCUCUGACAGAAACGCUGAAUACUGGGAAUCAUUUGGCAAGAAAAUCAAACAGGAAGCUGCGUUUGUCUGCAGGGUGAGAAUAUCGGUACGUUAAAGACGCAGAUUUCUCAGUGGGAGUGAAACAGUAAAGGUCUCUGCUGCUCCUGACUUACAGAAAGAAGCUUUAAAUAAAAAAGAGGCACUUCUUCUUCUUCUUCACAGCUCCUCCGGUGUGCUUUUAUAUACAAACAUGCAGAAAAUAAGUCAGUCUUUGUCUACAAAGGCAAAAAGAAAGUUUUAAAAGAAGUGAUGAACUCUGAAAAACUCAGUUUGAUUAUUAGUUGGUUUUUUUGCAGGUCUGGAUGCAUAAAAAUCUGAUUUUAGAGGAAUUUCUGCUCAUAUUUAAUACAUUUUUAUGCUUUGCCACUGAAUUUGAUUUAUUAUUCACUAAACUGUCUCAUCUACUUGAUUUAUUUGUCCUUUAAAAUAAUCAGCUAAGGCACUUUUCCUCCCAAAAGCCAAAUUAAUGAACCUUUCUUUUGUUUUCUAUCCACAGUUUACUUCAUUUCUAAUAAGGAAAUAUGUCAAAAAAUACCUGGAAGGAUCACAGUGAGGAUGGAUUCAGCACAGAUUCGCUCCAAACAUGUAAAUGUUUAAAAAUCUUCCAGUUUGAUUUGUUUUUAUGAAGUUAAACGCAGCCAGCAGUCUUCUUCCUCUUCCUCUUCCUCGUUUAGGAUAAUUUAAAUCAGGAAUGAAAGGAUAAAAUGGAGUCUGCAGCAGGUAAAAUAGUGACGACUCAUAGUUACUCCACAGAACCCCAGUCUAGAAAAAGCACAAAGUGUUUUUCAUUUUAACUCAGAGGAAAAUCACCACAGGUUGAAACAUCCUGGUCAGAUUUUUAUAUUUUCAGGCCUGCAGCCAAACUGCUUCAUCAGCGAUUAAAGGUCAGAACUCACAUUAUUUAUUAGCAAAAAAGAACAAAGUCGUAUAAAGUAUUAAAUUAGCAUCCAUGAUCCAACCAGUAGGUUGAAACCAGUUUGGUGUUUUUAGCAGCCAGUCUGCAGAAAAACAGAACCGUUAAUCUUCUUUUCAUCACUUCUUUUAAAGGUUGAAUACGACCCAGAUGAAUUAACUGAAACAUCUUCCAGGAAGAAGCACAUUUCCAUGUGAACGUCCUUCACAGUCCAGCGGCAGUAAAUACAGUGCAAAGGGAGGAGAAGGUGGGUUGGAUUUAUUCACCUGGAGGAGUUUAAACCACAACAAGCACCUCCGCUUCAAGUUACUGCUGGAAAAACUGAACCAAAAGAGAAAAACCUCCAAUAACUUAAGAGGAUCCGGGCGGGCGGACUCCGGCUCCUGGCUCUGCUCUCCGUGGGACAUGGCCACCGCCUCGUACUCGGCCGCCGCCGGGCCGCUAGGAGCCUGGCAACGAGAGGAAAACAGGAUGACGGCGGCUGGAAGGUGGGCGCUUCCUGCAGGGGGCGCCAGAGCAAAACAACAAACACAAACCAGCAGCUACUAGAACCCGUCUACCCGGAAGAACACGGCACAAUCCAACUCAGACCGGGUAAAUAAUCCAGCACCAAACCGUCACUCAGUCUGCCCCAACGGGCCUUCAUCACAUGAUGAUGAGGAGGAUCUGAGGGGCGUUUCUGCUCCAGCUUCAUCACAUGAUGAUGAGGAGGAUCUGAGGGGCGUUUUUGCUCCAGCUUCAUCACUUGAUGAUGAGGAGGAUCUGAGGGGCGUUUCUGCUCCAGCUUCAUCACUUGAUGAUGAGGAGGAUCUGAGGGGCGUUUCUGCUCCAGCUUCAUCACUUGAUGAUGAGGAGGAUCUGAGGGGCGUUUCUGCUCCAGCUUCAUCACUUGAUGAUGAGGAGGAUCUGAGGGGCGUUUCUGCUCCAGCUUCAUCACUUGAUGAUGAGGAGGAUCUGAGGGGCGUUUUUGCUCCAGCUUCAUCACUUGAUGAUGAGGAGGAUCUGAGGGGCGUUUUUGCUCCAGCUUCAUCACUUGAUGAUGAGGAGGAUCUGAGGGGCGUUUCUGCUCCAGCUUCAUCACAUGAUGAUGAGGAGGAUCUGAGGGGCGUUUCUGCUCCAGCUUCAUCACAUGAUGAUGAGGAGGAUCUGAGGGGCGUUUUUGCUCCAGCUUCAUCACUUGAUGAUGAGGAGGAUCUGAGGGGCGUUUCUGCUCCAGCUUCAUCACAUGAUGAUGAGGAGGAUCUGAGGGGCGUUUUUGCUCCAGCUUCAUCACUUGAUGAUGAGGAGGAUCUGAGGGGCGUUUUUGCUCCAGCUUCAUCACUUGAUGAUGAGGAGGAUCUGAGGGGCGUUUCUGCUCCAGCUUCAUCACAUGAUGAUGAGGAGGAUCUGAGGGGCGUUUCUGCUCCAGCUUCAUCACAUGAUGAUGAGGAGGAUCUGAGGGGCGUUUUUGCUCCAGCUUCAUCACUUGAUGAUGAGGAGGAUCUGAGGGGCGUUUCUGCUCCAGCUUCAUCACAUGAUGAUGAGGAGGAUCUGAGGGGCGUUUUUGCUCCAGCUUCAUCACUUGAUGAUGAGGAGGAUCUGAGGGGCGUUUCUGCUCCAGCUUCAUCACUUGAUGAUGAGGAGGAUCUGAGGGGCGUUUCUGCUCCAGCUUCAUCACUUGAUGAUGAGGAGGAUCUGAGGGGCGUUUUUGCUCCAGCUUCAUCACUUGAUGAUGAGGAGGAUCUGAGGGGCGUUUCUGCUCCAGCUUCAUCACUUGAUGAUGAGGAGGAUCUGAGGGGCGUUUCUGCUCCAGCUUCAUCACUUGAUGAUGAGGAGGAUCUGAGGGGCGUUUCUGCUCCAGCUUCAUCACUUGAUGAUGAGGAGGAUCUGAGGGGCGUUUCUGCUCCAGCUUCAUCACUUGAUGAUGAGGAGGAUCUGAGGGGCGUUUCUGCUCCAGCUUCAUCACAAUCAACCAACCUGAUUCAUUCCAGCCGUUCAAACCCAAACAUGAUGCAGAAUUAUUGGAUUAUUAUUAACUACCAAUAAGUGAUGAGACAUGAUCCCGGAAAAUGUAAUUUAUUGAUAAUAAUACAAGUUUGUCAGAAAAACCAAUAAACAUAUCACUAUUAUGUC
Molecule: long non-coding RNA, 4537 nt
Organism: Xiphophorus couchianus (Monterrey platyfish)
Lineage: Eukaryota; Metazoa; Chordata; Actinopteri; Cyprinodontiformes; Poeciliidae
Exons: 3
Source: RefSeq, a predicted model, not a curated record